AAGUCGAGCCGGCCAAGCGGUAGCAAAUACCGCCUAGAGCGGCGGACUGGUGAGUAACGCGUGGGUGAUCUACCCCAUAGGUUGGGGAUAGCCUGUAGAAAUAUAGGGUAAUACCGAAUAUCCUUACCGGACUUUGGUUUGGCAAGGAAAGGCGCUUCGGCGCCGCCUGUGGAUGAGCCCGCGUACUAUUAGCUAGUUGGUGAGGUAAUGGCCCACCAAGGCGAUGAUAGUUAGCCGGCCUGAGAGGGUGAUCGGCCACAUUGGGACUGAGAUACGGCCCAAACUCCUACGGGAGGCAGCAGCUAAGAAUAUUCCGCAAUGGACGAAAGUCUGACGGAGCGACGCCGCGUGAAUGACGAAGGCCGAAAGGUUGUAAAAUUCUUUUGCCACUGAAGAAUAAGCAUGGUAGGUAAUGACCGUGUGAUGACGUUAGGUGGUGAAUAAGCCCCGGCUAAUUACGUGCCAGCAGCCGCGGUAACACGUAAGGGGCGAGCGUUGUUCGGAAUUAUUGGGCGUAAAGGGCGCGUAGGCGGCUCUGUAAGUCUGAAGUGAAAUCCCACAGCUUAACUGUGGAACUGCUUCGGAAACUGCUGAGCUCGAGUCUAGGAGGGGAAGUUGGAAUUCCUAGUGUAGGGGUGAAAUCUAUAGAUAUUAGGAAGAACACCAAUGGCGAAGGCAAACUUCUAGCCUAAGACUGACGCUGAGGCGCGAAAG
Molecule: ribosomal RNA, 714 nt
Filed under: uncultured spirochete
Lineage: Bacteria; Pseudomonadati; Spirochaetota; Spirochaetia; Spirochaetales
Description: bacterial SSU rRNA
Rfam family: Bacterial small subunit ribosomal RNA
Source: RNAcentral